GACGAACGCUGGCGGCGUGCUUAACACAUGCAAGUCGAACGGAAAGGCCCUGCUUUUGUGGGGUGCUCGAGUGGCGAACGGGUGAGUAACACGUGAGUAACCUGCCCUUGACUUUGGGAUAACUUCAGGAAACUGGGGCUAAUACCGGAUAGGAGCUCCUGCUGCAUGGUGGGGGUUGGAAAGUUUCGGCGGUUGGGGAUGGACUCGCGGCUUAUCAGCUUGUUUGUGGGGUAGUGGCUUACCAAGGUUUUGACGGGUAGGCGGCCUUGGAGGGUGACCGGCGACAAUGGGACUGAGAUACGGCCCAGACUCCUACGGGAGGCAGCAGUGGGGAAUAUUGCACAAUGGGCGGAAGCCUGAUGCAGAAACGCCGCGUGCGGGAUGACGGCCUUCGGGUUGUAAACCGCUUUCGCCUGUGACGAAGCGUGAGUGACGGUAAUGGGUAAAGAAGCACCGGCUAACUACGUG
RNAcentral lists this ribosomal RNA (468 nucleotides) under uncultured bacterium. Its description in RNAcentral is "partial 16S ribosomal RNA". It matches the Rfam family "Bacterial small subunit ribosomal RNA", at positions 28 to 507 of the family's 1533-position model. The record is from RNAcentral.